This is a long non-coding RNA of Lotus japonicus, 1578 nucleotides long. RefSeq lists it as uncharacterized. The record is from RefSeq and is a predicted model, not a curated record. The transcript has 3 exons. NCBI's taxonomy places the organism in Eukaryota, Viridiplantae, Streptophyta, Magnoliopsida, Fabales, Fabaceae.
AGGAAGUCAUCUUUUGGGAAAUAGAAUCUGGAACCGGUUGUGGAACCAGAAGCAGAUCAUUAGGAAUCAGUUGUAACCCUAAUUUUGUGUUCUUCCCCAAAUUGGCAAUAGAAUCUUUCUUCCUAGCAUGGAAUCUCAGUGAUUAUGGGUUAGAAUUCAGUUUUCUAUUCUUUUCCUAUCUCUGAUUUCUGCUAGUGUUAACACUGGUAUUAGAGCACCAGCCUGGUGCUUGAAACCCACACAUUCUACAACUCUGCAUGGUCCUGCCAAGGAAAAUGGCAAGAAGCCAAUCCAGUUGGAAUCAAGAACGAGAAGAAUUGCGACAGGAAAGAGAGGAAUUGCGCACCCCAUUGGAGCUGAACAAAGCUCGAACGAAGAAAGCAGAGGAUCUCAUCGCUGCACUCGAAGCCAGGCUCGGCGAUCGGAGAAGGGAACUCUUCGAUGAAGAAAGCAGGGAGAUUGGACGGGAUCGCGAGAAUCGCCUGCAAAUUCCGACCAAUAAUCGGUGGCGGAAAUUGGAAAUCCCAAUCUUCUCAGGUGACGAUGCGCUUCGGUUGGACACAGAGGCUAGAGAGGUAUUUCUCACUGAGGGAAGUUUCAGAGGAAGAAAGGAUGCAAGCAACACUAGUAGCCUUGGAAGGACGUGCUCUCAGCUGGUUCUAGUGGUGGGAGCGUUGCAACCCUUCACACCCAUGGGAAAGCUUUGAACUAGCAGUGGUUCGUUUGAGGAAUUCGGAGGACUUGUGGAGGAAGAUCGUGAAGGAAAGUUCAAGGAGCGAGCUGGAAAAUCAACAGUUGAGUAUGGCGGACUGGUACGAGACGGUCGUCCCUUCGGGGGGGACCAGGUUUGAGAUGUUGGACCAAGACACCCCAAGCUCAUGGGUGGUCGACCCCGCCGGCCACCGAGCUAUCUAUUCAGGGCGAAUAAUGGAGGAUCGCAUUGACCGGAUGCCAAGCCUGACGCACGGAGUCUGGAGGCACUACACUAUCAGCUUCAACUUGCCACCGGGUGUACACUGCGGACCUGGACUGGGAGUUCCACCACCACCGUCGCCUUCGGACGACGAGUACCCCUCGGAGGAGGUGCCUGUGGGAGGGACUUCUUCAGGCACUAAAUCACCCACUGUCGCGGCUGCUAUAGACUUGGGAUCGGGUGCAGAACCCGCUCGACCAGCUGUGGAGACCGAUGCAGUCAUCGACAUAGUCGUCUUGGAUUUAGAUUCAGACGACGAUCUUGGGGAUGCAUAGUUGGGAUUAGUGUAGGAGUAGCGUCUUGGCUCUGAUGUUCAGUCUUUCGUUUUGGGCAGGGUAGGUCCCCGACCUUUAGCUUUUCUUGUGGUUCUCUUUACGGAAAUCACAGAGAGUUGGUUGGACUAGGGGGUCUUGUUUUAGGCCAUCUGGGCUGACUUAUUCUCAUUUUGAGGGUUUGUGUUGCAGACACUUAACCUUUUCUUUUGGAUUGUACCUUUUGCCUUCGGGCGUUACUCUAUUUUGCUGUCCGUCACUGGAGGGUUACUCGUGACGUGGUUUACUACUUACAGCGGGGGCUGUAACUAUUAUUGUAUAUUAGUUUUGUUA